RNAcentral lists this transfer RNA (74 nucleotides) under Patescibacteria group bacterium. Its description in RNAcentral is "tRNA-Cys". It matches the Rfam family "tRNA". Rfam says of the family: Transfer RNA (tRNA) molecules are approximately 80 nucleotides in length. Their secondary structure includes four short double-helical elements and three loops (D, anti-codon, and T loops). Further hydrogen bonds mediate the characteristic L-shaped molecular structure. tRNAs have two regions of fundamental functional importance: the anti-codon, which is responsible for specific mRNA codon recognition, and the 3' end, to which the tRNAs corresponding amino acid is attached (by aminoacyl-tRNA synthetases). tRNAs cope with the degeneracy of the genetic code in two manners: having more than one tRNA (with a specific anti-codon) for a particular amino acid; and 'wobble' base-pairing, i.e. permitting non-standard base-pairing at the 3rd anti-codon position. RNAcentral also lists the same sequence under 1 other name. The record is from RNAcentral.
GGCUUGAUGGCGAAGUGGUCUAACGCUGCGGUUUGCAAAACCGUCAUUCGUGGGUUCGAAUCCCACUCAAGCCU